GCGAUACAGGGUGACAGCCCCGUACACAAAAAUGCACAUGCUGUGAGCUCGAUGAGUAGGGCGGGACACGUGGUAUCCUGUCUGAAUAUGGGGGGACCAUCCUCCAAGGCUAAAUACUCCUGACUGACCGAUAGUGAACCAGUACCGUGAGGGAAAGGCGAAAAGAACCCCGGCGAGGGGAGUGAAAAAGAACCUGAAACCGUGUACGUACAAGCAGUGGGAGCACGCUUAGGCGUGUGACUGCGUACCUUUUGUAUAAUGGGUCAGCGACUUAUAUUCUGUAGCAAGGUUAACCGAAUAGGGGAGCCGAAGGGAAACCGAGUCUUAACUGGGCGUUAAGUUGCAGGGUAUAGACCCGAAACCCGGUGAUCUAGCCAUGGGCAGGUUGAAGGUUGGGUAACACUAACUGGAGGACCGAACCGACUAAUGUUGAAAAAUUAGCGGAUGACUUGUGGCUGGGGGUGAAAGGCCAAUCAAACCGGGAGAUAGCUGGUUCUCCCCGAAAGCUAUUUAGGUAGCGCCUCGUGAAUUCAUCUCCGGGGGUAGAGCACUGUUUCGGCAAGGGGGUCAUCCCGACUUACCAACCCGAUGCAAACUGCGAAUACCGGAGAAUGUUAUCACGGGAGACACACGGCGGGUGCUAACGUCCGUCGUGAAGAGGGAAACAACCCAGACCGCCAGCUAAGGUCCCAAAGUCAUGGUUAAGUGGGAAACGAUGUGGGAAGGCCCAGACAGCCAGGAUGUUGGCUUAGAAGCAGCCAUCAUUUAAAGAAAGCGUAAUAGCUCACUGGUCGAGUCGGCCUGCGCGGAAGAUGUAACGGGGCUAAACCAUGCACCGAAGCUGCGGCAGCGACGCUGAUGCGUUGUUGGGUAGGGGAGCGUUCUGUAAGCCUGUGAAGGUGUACUGUGAGGUAUGCUGGAGGUAUCAGAAGUGCGAAUGCUGACAUAAGUAACGAUAAAGCGGGUGAAAAGCCCGCUCGCCGGAAGACCAAGGGUUCCUGUCCAACGUUAAUCGGGGCAGGGUGAGUCGACCCCUAAGGCGAGGCCGAAAGGCGUAGUCGAUGGGAAACAGGUUAAUAUUCCUGUACUUGGUGUUACUGCGAAGGGGGGACGGAGAAGGCUAUGUUGGCCGGGCGACGGUUGUCCCGGUUUAAGCGUGUAGGCUGGUUUUCCAGGCAAAUCCGGAAAAUCAAGGCUGAGGCGUGAUGACGAGGCACUACGGUGCUGAAGCAACAAAUGCCCUGCUUCCAGGAAAAGCCUCUAAGCAUCAGGUAACAUCAAAUCGUACCCCAAACCGACACAGGUGGUCAGGUAGAGAAUACCAAGGCGCUUGAGAGAACUCGGGUGAAGGAACUAGGCAAAAUGGUGCCGUAACUUCGGGAGAAGGCACGCUGAUAUGUAGGUGAAGCGACUUGCUCGUGGAGCUGAAAUCAGUCGAAGAUACCAGCUGGCUGCAACUGUUUAUUAAAAACACAGCACUGUGCAAACACGAAAGUGGACGUAUACGGUGUGACGCCUGCCCGGUGCCGGAAGGUUAAUUGAUGGGGUUAGCGCAAGCGAAGCUCUUGAUCGAAGCCCCGGUAAACGGCGGCCGUAACUAUAACGGUCCUAAGGUAGCGAAAUUCCUUGUCGGGUAAGUUCCGACCUGCACGAAUGGCGUAAUGAUGGCCAGGCUGUCUCCACCCGAGACUCAGUGAAAUUGAACUCGCUGUGAAGAUGCAGUGUACCCGCGGCAAGACGGAAAGACCCCGUGAACCUUUACUAUAGCUUGACACUGAACAUUGAGCCUUGAUGUGUAGGAUAGGUGGGAGGCUUUGAAGUGUGGACGCCAGUCUGCAUGGAGCCGACCUUGAAAUACCACCCUUUAAUGUUUGAUGUUCUAACGUUGACCCGUAAUCCGGGUUGCGGACAGUGUCUGGUGGGUAGUUUGACUGGGGCGGUCUCCUCCUAAAGAGUAACGGAGGAGCACGAAGGUUGGCUAAUCCUGGUCGGACAUCAGGAGGUUAGUGCAAUGGCAUAAGCCAGCUUGACUGCGAGCGUGACGGCGCGAGCAGGUGCGAAAGCAGGUCAUAGUGAUCCGGUGGUUCUGAAUGGAAGGGCCAUCGCUCAACGGAUAAAAGGUACUCCGGGGAUAACAGGCUGAUACCGCCCAAGAGUUCAUAUCGACGGCGGUGUUUGGCACCUCGAUGUCGGCUCAUCACAUCCUGGGGCUGAAGUAGGUCCCAAGGGUAUGGCUGUUCGCCAUUUAAAGUGGUACGCGAGCUGGGUUUAGAACGUCGUGAGACAGUUCGGUCCCUAUCUGCCGUGGGCGCUGGAGAACUGAGGGGGGCUGCUCCUAGUACGAGAGGACCGGAGUGGACGCAUCACUGGUGUUCGGGUUGUCAUGCCAAUGGCACUGCCCGGUAGCUAAAUGCGGAAGAGAUAAGUGCUGAAAGCAUCUAAGCACGAAACUUGCCCCGAGAUGAGUUCUCCCUGAC
RNAcentral lists this ribosomal RNA (2477 nucleotides) under Escherichia coli. RNAcentral describes it as "partial 23S ribosomal RNA". It matches the Rfam family "Bacterial large subunit ribosomal RNA", at positions 354 to 2819 of the family's 2925-position model. Lineage: Bacteria; Pseudomonadati; Pseudomonadota; Gammaproteobacteria; Enterobacterales; Enterobacteriaceae. The record is from RNAcentral.